AAGUCGUAACAAGGUUUCCGUAGGUGAACCUGCGGAAGGAUCAUUACAAUACGUUUCCACACGUAAACCAAACGUUGAACUGUACAAGCGUCCGAUAGGAAAUGGGGUUCAUGGGCCGGCGGCUUUGAGGUGGAUACACCAAACACAAAUCAAACUUCGGUUUGAAAGGUGAUCGAAAGUGCCUCGGUCGGUUCUUUUUCCGGUGUUGCUCGAGUUUCGCACUCGCAAAACGGAAAAGCCCUUUUCCUAGUUCGCGUAUUUAUCCAUUCAAACACUUUUGCAUCGCCUUUUUUUCCUUUUAACCCCUUUCACCUUUUUUACUUCAACAUUAUUGAACUGAUUUCGAGCUGCUUAACCGCGCUCGAUCAUUUUUACGAAACGUAAGAACAACUCUUAACAACGGAUAUCUUGGCUCUC
This 417-nucleotide unclassified non-coding RNA is filed under the name fungal sp. RNAcentral's name for it is "partial internal transcribed spacer region". The stretch from base 1 to 46 matches the Rfam family "Eukaryotic small subunit ribosomal RNA", at positions 1786 to 1831 of the family's 1831-position model. Lineage: Eukaryota; Fungi. The record is from RNAcentral.